Molecule: transfer RNA, 63 nt
Filed under: Rattus norvegicus (Norway rat)
Lineage: Eukaryota; Metazoa; Chordata; Mammalia; Rodentia; Muridae
Rfam family: tRNA
About the family: Transfer RNA (tRNA) molecules are approximately 80 nucleotides in length. Their secondary structure includes four short double-helical elements and three loops (D, anti-codon, and T loops).
Source: Rfam by way of RNAcentral
GGGGAUUUAGCUCAGUGGUAGAGCGCUUGCCUAGCAAGCACAAGGCCGUAGGUUCGGUCCCCA